AGAUAGCACACGUUUUGGCUGAAGUCUGGCAUACGUUUGGUAUUUUUGGGUUUGUUUUGGCAUAGAAGCAGCAAAGUAAAUGCUUUCGGCUGAACUGUGGCAAGAUUGUGGUUUACCAUAAUAGAUAAAAAGGCGCCAGCGGUAGAUAACUAGUUAUGGCAUAUGUCUGGUUAACCAGAUUUACUGACGUAUGCAGGUGCGUUUUGGCGUCCUUGUGGUUUGCCAGAAGACUGAUUAAAGACCGGGAAAUUUUUCUAGAAGAGACGUCUAGUACUUCACUAACUCCAGCACUAUCACAGACGUGCAUAAGACAUUCAGUGGAGCUGCAGCAAGCAGUAUAAAUGGUGCAUAAGGCAUUCAGUGGAGCUGCACCUUAAGGCAAUAGUAAUGGAUGCUGUGAGAAGAAAUUCUGUUUGCUCUGCCAACAGUCGACCCGUUUACAGUAAUAAGUAUGCUGAUAUGACUUAACUAGAAUUGCGGUUCCAAAGAACUGCAAGAGUGGGUUUGAUCAGUGGCAUGGAACUCGGCCUCAUCCAAGGAUUCCAACAGUACCUCAUUUAUGAAAAUCGGGCACACGGAUCAAAAGUUAUCUGCAUUAACGCAACAUCCAAUAAGCUAAAACGCAUAAAUAACAUGGUUGCUAUGCUGGUUGCUAUGGUGGUCGCUAGGUUGACAUUACAGGGGUGGUUUCUAGGUUGUUGCUAGGGUAAUUAGUUAGUUGCUAGUAAGCCAUCUUAAGCUGACUGCAUAAAGUGAUUAUUUUAAGAGAUACAUUUUCAAACCAGAACUGUGUAUAGGUCAUAGUUAAAAACGUAUCAGAAUCUCAGAAAUAAUCACGUAAUGCAGCCAGUUUAAGAUUUUUUAAGAAGUCAGAUUUUUUAAAGGCAAUCAAAUUUCUGCUAACUCUCUUCUGGCUGCGGUUAAAGGCCAGCGCCUCCUGAGAGGCCUGAGGGGUCAGUUCUGAGGUUGUUGGCUGCUGGAACCGAAAAAUGGACUGCAUUUUCUUAAAAGACAAUGUGACUGAAGUGCGGGCAAAGUUUGCACAGAAAUGUACGAUUUUUCCCACCCUCAUCGACCUUGUCAUAAAACUUGUUUAAAUGAUCA
Molecule: long non-coding RNA, 1104 nt
Organism: Alosa sapidissima (American shad)
Lineage: Eukaryota; Metazoa; Chordata; Actinopteri; Clupeiformes; Clupeidae
Exons: 4
Source: RefSeq, a predicted model, not a curated record